GUGAAAUACCACUACUCCUAUUGUUUUUUUACUUAUUCAGUGAAGCGGGGCUGGACUUGCGUCCAACUUCUGGUGUUAAGAUCCUUCGCGGGCCGACCCGGGGUGCAGACCUUGUCAGGUGGGGAGUUUGGCUGGGGCGGCACAUCGGUUAAACCAUAACGCAGGUGUGCUAAGGGUGGCUCAUGGAGAACAGAAAUCUCCAGUAGAACAAAAUGCUAAGAGGCGCCUUGAUUUUGAUUUUCAGUGUGAUUACAAACCAGGAAAGUGCAGCCUAUCUAUCCUUUAGUCCCUCGGGGUUUGUGGCUAGCGGUGCUUGAAUU
RNAcentral lists this ribosomal RNA (320 nucleotides) under Lomentospora prolificans. Its description in RNAcentral is "LSU rRNA". It matches the Rfam family "Eukaryotic large subunit ribosomal RNA", at positions 2489 to 2811 of the family's 3401-position model. Lineage: Eukaryota; Fungi; Ascomycota; Sordariomycetes; Microascales; Microascaceae. The record is from RNAcentral.